Molecule: long non-coding RNA, 318 nt
Organism: Chenopodium quinoa (quinoa)
Lineage: Eukaryota; Viridiplantae; Streptophyta; Magnoliopsida; Caryophyllales; Amaranthaceae
Exons: 3
Source: RefSeq, a predicted model, not a curated record
UUAUUUGUGAUUGUGUUUCAGGAAACAAAUUGAUAGUUUAAUAACUGAAAAUGUAUAUAUUUUGGAGAAAUCUAUUUCAGAGAACAGAAACAACGAUUCUUCAAAAAUGUAGACCAAAUCAGGAAGCUGAGGAUGCAAUACACAACUCAACUAAUGCUUUUGAAGAAAACACUGAAUGUAGGAUCAACAAAAGAUUAUCAAGAAAAAUUACAAAAGAGUAGUAUUACAUGUUCAUUUAUAAAUUUAUAUAUGUUCAUUUAUACAAAGAUAUAUGUUCUUAUAUGUGUUCAAUAGAACUUAUAGAUUUUACUCGCUUAA